This 253-nucleotide ribosomal RNA is filed under the name uncultured bacterium. RNAcentral's name for it is "partial 16S ribosomal RNA". It matches the Rfam family "Bacterial small subunit ribosomal RNA", at positions 524 to 776 of the family's 1533-position model. The record is from RNAcentral.
UACGUAGGGGGCUAGCGUUGUCCGGAUUUAUUGGGCGUAAAGAGCGUGUAGGCGGCCUGGUAGGUCUGCUGUGAAAACUCGAGGCUCAACCUCGAGAUGUCGGCGGAAACCAUCUGGCUAGAGUCCGGAAGAGGAGAGUGGAAUUCCUUGUGUAGCGGUGAAAUGCGCAGAUAUCAGGAAGAACACCUAUGGCGAAGGCAGCUCUCUGGGACGGUACUGACGCUGAGACGCGAAAGCGUGGGGAGCGAACAGG